This 274-nucleotide ribosomal RNA is filed under the name uncultured bacterium. Its description in RNAcentral is "partial 16S ribosomal RNA". It matches the Rfam family "Bacterial small subunit ribosomal RNA", at positions 523 to 796 of the family's 1533-position model. The record is from RNAcentral.
AUACGGAGGGUGCGAGCGUUAAUCGGAAUUACUGGGCGUAAAGCGUACGUAGGCGGUUGGUUAAGUUAGAUGUGAAGGCCCCGGGCUUAACCUGGGAACUGCAUUUAAAACUGGCGAACUAGAGUUGAGUAGAGGGGAGUGGAAUUUCAGGUGUAGCGGUGAAAUGCGUAGAGAUCUGAAGGAACACCAGUGGCGAAGGCGACUCCCUGGACUCGAACUGACGCUGAGGUACGAAAGCGUGGGUAGCAAACGGGAUUAGAUACCCCGGUAGUCC